GAUGAACGCUGGCGGCGUGCCUAAUACAUGCAAGUCGAGCGAACAGACGAGGAGCUUGCUCCUCUGACGUUAGCGGCGGACGGGUGAGUAACACGUGGAUAACCUACCUAUAAGACUGGGAUAACUUCGGGAAACCGGAGCUAAUACCGGAUAAUAUAUUGAACCGCAUGGUUCAAUAGUGAAAGACGGUUUUGCUGUCACUUCUAGAUGGAUCCGCGCCGCAUUAGCUAGUUGGUAAGGUAACGGCUUACCAAGGCAACGAUGCGUAGCCGACCUGAGAGGGUGGUCGGCCACACGGGAACUGAGACACGGUCCAGACUCCUACGGGAGGCAGCAGUAGGGAAUCUUCCGCAAUGGGCGAAAGCCUGACGGAGCAACGCCGCGUGAGUGAUGAAGGUCUUCGGAGCGUAAAACUCUGUUAUUAGGUAAGAACAAAUGUGUAAGUAACUAUGCACGUCUUGACGGUACCUAAUCAGAAAGCCACGGCUAACUACGUG
RNAcentral lists this ribosomal RNA (497 nucleotides) under uncultured bacterium. RNAcentral describes it as "partial 16S ribosomal RNA". It matches the Rfam family "Bacterial small subunit ribosomal RNA", at positions 28 to 507 of the family's 1533-position model. The record is from RNAcentral.